GACGAACGCUGGCGGCGCGCCUAACACAUGCAAGUCGAACGAGCGAGAGGGAGCUUGCUUUCUCGAGCGAGUGGCGAACGGGUGAGUAACGCGUGAGGAACCUGCCUCAAAGAGGGGGACAACAGUUGGAAACGACUGCUAAUACCGCAUAAGCCCACGGGUCGGCAUCGACCAGAGGGAAAAGGAGCAAUCCGCUUUGAGAUGGCCUCGCGUCCGAUUAGCUAGUUGGUGAGGUAACGGCCCACCAAGGCAACGAUCGGUAGCCGGACUGAGAGGUUGAACGGCCACAUUGGGACUGAGACACGGCCCAGACUCCUACGGGAGGCAGCAGUGGGGAAUAUUGCACAAUGGGGGAAACCCUGAUGCAGCGACGCCGCGUGGAGGAAGAAGGUCUUCGGAUUGUAAACUCCUGUUGUUGAGGAAGAUAAUGACGGUACUCAACAAGGAAGUGACGGCA
Molecule: ribosomal RNA, 457 nt
Filed under: uncultured bacterium
Lineage: Bacteria
Description: bacterial SSU rRNA
Rfam family: Bacterial small subunit ribosomal RNA
Source: RNAcentral